GAACGCUGGCGGCGUGCUUAACACAUGCAAGUCGAACGGAGCGAAUGAAAGCUUGCUUUUAUGAGCUUAGUGGCAAACGGGUGAGUAACACGUAGACAACCUGCCGAUCAGAUGGGGACAACAUUCCGAAAGGAAUGCUAAUACCGAAUGGCGUGGAGGGAAGGCAUCUUCCUUUCAUGAAAGAUGGCCUCUAUUUAUAAGCUAUCACUGAUCGAUGGGUCUGCGUCUGAUUAGCUAGUAGGUAAGGUAACGGCUUACCUAGGCGACGAUCAGUAGCCGGUCUGAGAGGAUGAACGGCCACAUUGGGACUGAGACACGGCCCAGACUCCUACGGGAGGCAGCAGUGGGGAAUCUUCCGCAAUGGGCGCAAGCCUGACGGAGCAACGCCGCGUGAGUGAAGAAGGUCUUCGGAUCGUAAAGCUCUGUUGAAGGGGACGAACGAUCGAGGGGCGAACAGGCUCUCGGUAUGACGGUACCUUUUGAGGAAGCCACGGCUAACUACGUGCCAGCAGCCGCGGUAAUACGUAGGUGGCGAGCGUUGUCCGGAAUCAUUGGGCGUAAAGGGAGCGCAGGCGGCCAUGUAAGUCUUGCUUAAAAGUUCGGGGCUCAACCCCGUGAUGGGCAAGAAACUAUAUGGCUUGAGUGCAGGAGAGGAAAGCGGAAUUCCCAGUGUAGCGGUGAAAUGCGUAGAUAUUGGGAGGAACACCAGUGGCGAAGGCGGCUUUCU
Molecule: ribosomal RNA, 727 nt
Filed under: uncultured Peptococcaceae bacterium
Lineage: Bacteria; Bacillati; Bacillota; Clostridia; Eubacteriales; Peptococcaceae
Description: bacterial SSU rRNA
Rfam family: Bacterial small subunit ribosomal RNA
Source: RNAcentral